UACCUGGUUGAUCCUGCCAGUAGUCAUAUGCUUGUCUUAAAGAUUAAGCCAUGCAUGUCUAAGUAUAAAUAGUAUACAGUGAAACUGCGAAUGGCUCAUUAAAACAGUUAUAGUUUAUUUGAUAAUUAAAUUCUACAUGGAUAACCGUGGUAAUUCUAGAGCUAAUACAUGCUGUAAAACCUAACUUCACGGAAAGGUUGUAUUUAUUAGAUAUCAAACCAAUAUUCCUUCGGGUCUAUUGUGAUGAUUCAUAAUAACUGAUCGAAGCCAAGCCUUGCUCGGCUAAAUCAUUCAAGUUUCUGACCUAUCAGCUUUCGAUGGUAGUGUAUUGGACUACCAUGGCAAUCACGGUUAACGGGGAAUUAGGGUUCGAUUCCGGAGAGGGAGCCUGAGAAACGGCUACCACAUCUAAGGAAGGCAGCAGGCGCGUAAAUUACCCAAUCCUGAUUCAGGGAGGUAGUGACAAGAAAUAACAACUCGGGGCCUCACGGCUUACGAGAUUGCAAUGAGAACAAUUUAAAUCACUUAUCUAGGAACAAUUGGAGGGCAAGUCUGGUGCCAGCAGCCGCGGUAAUUCCAGCUCCAAUAGC
RNAcentral lists this ribosomal RNA (590 nucleotides) under uncultured marine eukaryote. RNAcentral describes it as "SSU rRNA". It matches the Rfam family "Eukaryotic small subunit ribosomal RNA", at positions 1 to 598 of the family's 1831-position model. The record is from RNAcentral.